AUUGAACGCUGGCGGCAUGCUUUACACAUGCAAGUCGAACGGCAGCGCGGGCUUCGUCCUGGCGGCGAGUGGCGAACGGGUGAGUAAUACAUCGGAACGUGCCCAGUAGUUGGGGAUAGCUCGGCGAAAGCCGGAUUAAUACCGCAUACGACCUGAGGGUGAAAGCGGGGGAUCUUCGGACCUCGCGCUAUUUGAGCGGCCGAUGGCAGAUUAGCUAGUUGGUGGGGUAAAGGCCUACCAAGGCGACGAUCUGUAGCUGGUCUGAGAGGACGACCAGCCACACUGGGACUGAGACACGGCCCAGACUCCUACGGGAGGCAGCAGUGGGGAAUUUUGGACAAUGGGCGAAAGCCUGAUCCAGCAAUGCCGCGUGUGUGAUGAAGGCCUUCGGGUUGUAAAGCACUUUUGGCGGGAACGAAAAGGACUGUGCCAAUACCACGGUUCGAUGACGGUACCCGCAGAAUAAGCACCGGCUAACUACGUG
RNAcentral lists this ribosomal RNA (484 nucleotides) under uncultured bacterium. RNAcentral describes it as "partial 16S ribosomal RNA". It matches the Rfam family "Bacterial small subunit ribosomal RNA", at positions 30 to 507 of the family's 1533-position model. The record is from RNAcentral.